RNAcentral lists this ribosomal RNA (892 nucleotides) under uncultured bacterium. Its description in RNAcentral is "SSU rRNA". It matches the Rfam family "Bacterial small subunit ribosomal RNA", at positions 8 to 916 of the family's 1533-position model. The record is from RNAcentral.
AGAGUUUGAUCAUGGCUCAGAAUCAACGCUGGCGGCGUGCCUAACACAUGCAAGUCGAACGAGAAAGCGGGGGCAACCCCGUGAGUAAAGUGGCGACCGGGUGAGUAACACGUGACUAACCUGCCCUCAAGUGGGGAAUAACCUCGGGAAACCGGGGCUAAUACCGCAUAACAUCGCAGCCGUGAAGGCGGCGAUCAAAGCAGCAAUGCGCUGGAGGAGGGGGUCGCGGCUGAUUAGCUAGUUGGUGAGGUAACGGCUCACCAAGGCGAUGAUCAGUAUCCGGCCUGAGAGGGCGCUCGGACACACUGGAACUGAAACACGGUCCAGACUCCUACGGGAGGCAGCAGUGGGGAAUUUUGCGCAAUGGGGGAAACCCUGACGCAGCAACGCCGCGUGGAGGAUGAAGUCCCUUGGGACGUAAACUCCUUUCGAACGGGACGAUUAUGACGGUACCGUAUGAAGAAGCCCCGGCUAACUUCGUGCCAGCAGCCGCGGUAAUACGAGGGGGGCAAGCGUUGUUCGGAAUUAUUGGGCGUAAAGGGCGCGUAGGCGGCGCGGUAUGUCUCCUGUGAAAUCUCCAGGCUCAACUUGGAGCUUGCAGGGGAAACUGCCGUGCUUGAGUACUGGAGAGGUGAGUGGAAUUCCCGGUGUAGCGGUGAAAUGCGUAGAUAUCGGGAGGAACACCUGUGGCGAAAGCGGCUCACUGGACAGUAACUGACGCUGAGGCGCGAAAGCUAGGGGAGCAAACAGGAUUAGAUACCCUGGUAGUCCUAGCCCUAAACGAUGGAUGCUUGGUGUGAUCGGUACCCAAUCCGAUCGUGCCGGAGCUAACGCGUUAAGCAUCCCGCCUGGGGAGUACGGUCGCAAGGCUGAAACUCAAAUGAAUUGACGG